AUACGGAGGGUGCAAGCGUUACUCGGAAUCACUGGGCGUAAAGGACGCGUAGGCGGAUUGGAAAGUCAGAUGUGAAAUCCUACAGCUUAACUGUAGAACUGCAUUUGAAACUUCUAAUCUAGAGUAUGGGAGGGGGAGAUGGAAUUAGUGGUGUAGGGGUAAAAUCCGUAGAUAUCACUAGGAAUACCGCAAGCGAAGGCGAUCUCCUGGAACAUAACUGACGCUAAGGCGUGAAAGCGUGGGGAGCAAACGGAAUUAGAAACCCGAGUAGUCC
RNAcentral lists this ribosomal RNA (274 nucleotides) under uncultured bacterium. Its description in RNAcentral is "partial 16S ribosomal RNA". It matches the Rfam family "Bacterial small subunit ribosomal RNA", at positions 523 to 796 of the family's 1533-position model. The record is from RNAcentral.